CGCGGGGUGGAGCAGCCCGGUAGCUCGUCAGGCUCAUAACCUGAAGGUCGUAGGUUCAAAUCCUACCCCCGCAACC
Molecule: transfer RNA, 76 nt
Filed under: Iodidimonas nitroreducens
Lineage: Bacteria; Pseudomonadati; Pseudomonadota; Alphaproteobacteria; Iodidimonadales; Iodidimonadaceae
Description: Kordiimonadales bacterium JCM 17846 tRNA-Met
Rfam family: tRNA
About the family: Transfer RNA (tRNA) molecules are approximately 80 nucleotides in length.
Source: RNAcentral